Molecule: non-coding RNA, 69 nt
Organism: Rattus norvegicus (Norway rat)
Lineage: Eukaryota; Metazoa; Chordata; Mammalia; Rodentia; Muridae
Source: Rfam
GGGGAUUUAGCUCAGUGGUAGAGCGCUUGCCUAGCAAGCACGAGGCCCUGGGUUCAGUCCCCAGCUCCG